UUUUUUAAGGGGGGGGUACAAGUUAUAAUCAUGAUUUCUAUGUUUGCCACAAGAGGAGUCAGUGGAACAUCUAUGUGUUUGUCAAAAGUAUUUUAAUGAAAAACAAACAAUGAAGAAGGAACUUAGAAAGGUGGGAGUGGAAGGAAUAAAGCUUAAAAAAAGUAUAAUCACUUAUGGAUUAGAGAGCUUAUUUCUUUAUCUCAAAAGUACAGAACUGAUAAAGAGAAUGAAGGGUUUCUUUUAUGAAAUGAGUAAACUUUGGUCCACACUCCAACACUGAAGGUGGCGAUAAUGCACCUUAACGCUGGUGCUACCCACCAUAAAACAGAAGAAGAAGAAUCAAACAUCACUAUUCAAGAAUUAGCUACGGGAAAUAGGAGGACUGGACUGGAAGGACGAAUUUAAUUAAGAUAUAGUAAGUUAAAGUGAGACAGCAGAUGGCAGUAAUGCAACACUAUGGAUGCCAACUGCCGUAAAACUCCAA
Long non-coding RNA from Sinocyclocheilus rhinocerous, 484 nucleotides. RefSeq lists it as uncharacterized. The record is from RefSeq and is a predicted model, not a curated record. NCBI's taxonomy places the organism in Eukaryota, Metazoa, Chordata, Actinopteri, Cypriniformes, Cyprinidae. The transcript is spliced from 2 exons.